This 73-nucleotide transfer RNA is filed under the name Telonemida sp. RNAcentral's name for it is "tRNA-Cys". It matches the Rfam family "tRNA". From Rfam's summary of the family: Transfer RNA (tRNA) molecules are approximately 80 nucleotides in length. Their secondary structure includes four short double-helical elements and three loops (D, anti-codon, and T loops). Further hydrogen bonds mediate the characteristic L-shaped molecular structure. tRNAs have two regions of fundamental functional importance: the anti-codon, which is responsible for specific mRNA codon recognition, and the 3' end, to which the tRNAs corresponding amino acid is attached (by aminoacyl-tRNA synthetases). tRNAs cope with the degeneracy of the genetic code in two manners: having more than one tRNA (with a specific anti-codon) for a particular amino acid; and 'wobble' base-pairing, i.e. permitting non-standard base-pairing at the 3rd anti-codon position. Lineage: Eukaryota; Telonemia; Telonemida. The record is from RNAcentral.
GGCUAUAUAACAUAAUUGGUUAAUGUGGAAGUCUGCAAAACUUCAAAUGGCGGUUCAAAUCCGCCUUUAGCCU